GUGAUUCUACAUAACAACAUCCGCUUGACCUCGCAAAGCCAAGAAGAAGAAAGGCGUGGAACACAUGCUUAAGCCUGUCAAGAUCUUCAGAUGAUGUUUGAGAAAAAAGUCAUCAUCCUCUUCGUCACUCUUCAUCCGUAUUUGGGGUAACAAACACCUGCUUCCCACAAGAGACUGGACCGCUGAAGUCAGGUGACCUGCACCUUCCUUGAACAUGUUGGUAACUUACUCUGUAUUUGUUCACGGUGGUCACCCCAGGGUCUCAGGACUCAAAACGAGUGCUCUAUGGAUUGAACAGAAAAUGUAGUAUUAACAAGUGUUAUAUUAUGUCUUUAAAUGCCACUAAUAAUGUGUUUCUGUUUUCUUUCUCAUUAUGCUAACAAACGCUCUUUUAUCCCUCAUGUUAGGUGGAUCAACACUCCAACCCUCUGCAUUAGGGACUGAAUAAAGGAUGCCCUCUGUAGCUGGGAAUGUUAGAUCAGGCGGAUCAACAUUCCAUCCAUCUGCAUUAGGAUCUACCUUAGAGACACUCACUGGAGUUGUAAAGGGAAGCAGGUCACUUACUUUUCAUUCGUCCUUGGUGGUCACCCCAGGGUCUCUAGAGUGAAAAUUACUCAAUCUAUGGAUUAAACAGAAAAUGUAGUUUUAUGAAGUGCAAUUUGGGACAUUCUUCCAGUUGUCGGCAACUUUGUGAAAAAGGCUGGAAACUAAAAUGCAAAAUUCUGGCCUGGUGUUUGGUCCGUGCUGUCUUUGGCUCUUGCAUCUCCAUCAUCCUGACCCUCUUUAGCAGCCUGUCCAUGUAUUUAUUUGGAGGCCACCAUGAGCACCCAUCUGCAUAAUAUGACUUUGUUACUCAG
Molecule: non-coding RNA, 857 nt
Organism: Misgurnus anguillicaudatus (oriental weatherfish)
Lineage: Eukaryota; Metazoa; Chordata; Actinopteri; Cypriniformes; Cobitidae
Source: RefSeq, a predicted model, not a curated record